RNAcentral lists this ribosomal RNA (934 nucleotides) under uncultured bacterium. Its description in RNAcentral is "bacterial SSU rRNA". It matches the Rfam family "Bacterial small subunit ribosomal RNA", at positions 33 to 985 of the family's 1533-position model. The record is from RNAcentral.
ACGCUGACAGAAUGCUUAACACAUGCAAGUCUAUGAGGAAGUUUAGCUUGCUAAAUGGACUCAUGGCGGACGGGUGAGUAACGCGUAAAGAACUUGCCCUUUAGACUGGGAUAACAGAGGGAAACUUCUGAUAAUACUGGAUAAGUUAGUAUAUCGCAUGAUAUGCAAAUGAAAGCUACGGCACUAAAGGAGAGCUUUGCGUCCUAUUAGCUAGUUGGUAAGGUAAGAGCUUACCAAGGCGAUGAUAGGUAGCCGGCCUGAGAGGGUGGACGGCCACAAGGGGACUGAGAUACGGCCCUUACUCCUACGGGAGGCAGCAGUGGGGAAUAUUGGACAAUGGAGGGAACUCUGAUCCAGCAAUUCUGUGUGUGUGAAGAAGGUUUUAGGACUGUAAAACACUUUUAGUAGGGAAGAAAAAAAUGACGGUACCUACAGAAGAAGCAACGGCUAAAUACGUGCCAGCAGCCGCGGUAAUACGUAUGUUGCGAGCGUUAUCCGGAAUUAUUGGGCUUAAAGGGCAUCUAGGCGGUAAGACAAGUUGAAGGUGAAAACCUGUGGCUCAACCAUAGGCUUGCCUACAAAACUGUUGAACUAGAGUACUGGAAAGGUGGGUGGAACUACACGAGUAGAGGUGAAAUUCGUAGAUAUGUGUAGGAAUGCCGAUGAUGAAGAUAACUCACUGGACAGAAACUGACGCUGAAGUGCGAAAGCUAGGGGAGCAAACAGGAUUAGAUACCCUGGUAGUCCUAGCUGUAAACGAUGAUCACUGGGUGUGGGGAUGCGAAGUCUCUGUGCCGAAGCAAAAGCGAUAAGUGAUCCGCCUGGGGAGUACGUUCGCAAGAAUGAAACUCAAAGGAAUUGACGGGGGCCCGCACAAGUGGUGGAGCAUGUGGUUUAAUUCGACGCAACGCGAGGAACCUUACCAGAUCUUGAC